AAUCAACUAAGCUACUCCCGUCGUGAGGCGGGGUCAGAAAGCCACGGUUCUUGCCUAGCAAUAGCAAGAAGGCCGGGUUGCCUCC
RNAcentral lists this non-coding RNA (85 nucleotides) under Methylomonas lenta. RNAcentral's name for it is "c-di-GMP sequence". It matches the Rfam family "c-di-GMP-I riboswitch aptamer". Rfam says of the family: GEMM was predicted in a large-scale screen for bacterial structured RNA regulatory elements. Genes associated with GEMM are involved in a diverse array of functions, including chemotaxis regulation, signal transduction, secretion and chitin. Lineage: Bacteria; Pseudomonadati; Pseudomonadota; Gammaproteobacteria; Methylococcales; Methylococcaceae. The record is from Rfam by way of RNAcentral.